GACGAACGCUGGCGGCGUGCUUAACACAUGCAAGUCGAACGGAAAGGCCCUGCUUUUGUGGGGUGCUCGAGUGGCGAACGGGUGAGUAACACGUGAGUAACCUGCCCUUGACUUUGGGAUAACUUCAGGAAACUGGGGCUAAUACCGGAUAGGAGCUCCUGCUGCAUGGUGGGGGUUGGAAAGUUUCGGCGGUUGGGGAUGGACUCGCGGCUUAUCAGCUUGUUGGUGGGGUAGUGGCUUACCAAGGCUUUGACGGGUAGCCGGCCUGAGAGGGUGACCGGCCACAUUGGGACUGAGAUACGGCCCAGACUGCUACGGGAGGCAGAAGUGGGGAAUAUUGCACAAUAGGCGGAAGCCUGAUGAAGCAACGCCGCGUGCGGGAUGACGGGUUUCGGGUUGUAAACCGCUUUCGCCUGUGACGAAGCGUGAGUGACGGUAAUGGGUAAAGAAGCACCGGCUAACUACGUG
RNAcentral lists this ribosomal RNA (468 nucleotides) under uncultured bacterium. RNAcentral's name for it is "partial 16S ribosomal RNA". It matches the Rfam family "Bacterial small subunit ribosomal RNA", at positions 28 to 507 of the family's 1533-position model. The record is from RNAcentral.